This 216-nucleotide unclassified non-coding RNA is filed under the name Hevea brasiliensis (rubber tree). Lineage: Eukaryota; Viridiplantae; Streptophyta; Magnoliopsida; Malpighiales; Euphorbiaceae. The record is from RNAcentral.
UUUUUUUCUAGGGUUUGUUUUCAAUCUGUCUCUCCUGAGAACUGGAAGAGAAUGAGUUGUUGAAGGCGUUCACUUCCUAUUUUAUGCAAAAGCUUUGAGAAUUAUAGGAUCAUCUCAUCAUCACCAUUAUCAUCGAUCAUCGUUUUCUCUAAUCAUGGUUAAUCUGAAUCACAUCUUUCAUCUCGCCCGUUCAUUCAUGCCUUGAGUUUAGCUGCC